GCUAUGGCAUCAAUGGUUGCCCUUAAUUUGCUCCUAAAGUUAUCAACUAAAUCCUCACAAGCGGGAGGCAGAAUAGGUGGUGAAUAAAAAUAAAAUCUGUCAAAUCUGUAGCAAAUUCAGAGGUAAGAUAGCGUUUCUUAUAUGUUCAGUAUUACCCUGUGCUGUGGGCAGCAAGGUAGUAUAACAUCCACAGUGGUGAUCAGAUAAAGCAACAUCAUCAAUAGAGGACAGAAAGCCCCUUGGUAAUAACCAGGUCCAGAGCAUGGCUGUGGGUAUGGGUGGGCCCAGUAGAAAGCCCCUUGGUAAUAACCAGGUCCAGAGUAUGGCUGUGGUUAUGGGUGGGCCCAGAUGAAAGCCCCUUGGUAAUAACCAGGUCCAGAGUAUGGCUGUGGUUAUGGGUGGGCCCAGUAGAAAGCCCCUUGGUAAUAACCAGGUCCAGAGUAUGGCUGUGGUUAUGGGUGGGCCCAGGAGAAAGACCCUUGGUAAUAACCAGGUCCAGAGUAUGGCUGUGGUUAUGGGUGGACCCAGAUGAAAGCCCCUUGGUAAUAACCAGGUCCAGAGUAUGGCUGUGGUUAUGGGUGGGCCCAGUAGAAAGCCCCUUGGUAAUAACCAGGUCCAGAGUAUGGCUGUGGUUAUGGGUGGGCCCAGUAGAAAGCCCCUUGGUAAUAACCAGGUCCAGAGUAUGGCUGUGGUUAUGGUUGGGCCCAGUAGAAUGCCCCUUGGUAAUAACCAUGUCCAGAGUAUGGCUGUGGUUAUUGGUGGGCCCAGUAGAACGCCCCUUGGUAAUAACCAGGUCCAGAGUAUGGCUGUGGCUAUGGGUGGGCCCAGUAUAAAGCCGCUUGGUAAUAACCAGGUCCAGAGUAUGGCUGUGGUUAUGGGUGGGCCCAGUAGAAAGCCCCUUGGUAAUAACCAGGUCCAGAGUAUGGCUGUGGUUAUGGGUGGACCCAGUAGAAAGCCCCUUGGUAAUAACCAGGUCCAGAGUAUGGCUGUGGUUAUGGGUAGGACCAGUAGAAAGCCCCUUGGUAAUAACCAGGUCCAGAGUAUGGCUUAUGGUUAUGGGUGGGCCCAGUGGAAAGCCCCUUGAUAAUUACCAGGUCCAGAGUAUGGCCGCGGUUAUGGGUGGGCCCAGUAACAUUUUGGAUAAAGUC
Long non-coding RNA from Oncorhynchus tshawytscha (Chinook salmon), 1148 nucleotides. The record is from Ensembl. NCBI's taxonomy places the organism in Eukaryota, Metazoa, Chordata, Actinopteri, Salmoniformes, Salmonidae.